Molecule: ribosomal RNA, 433 nt
Filed under: uncultured bacterium
Lineage: Bacteria
Description: partial 16S ribosomal RNA
Rfam family: Bacterial small subunit ribosomal RNA
Source: RNAcentral
AACGAACGCUGGCGGCAUGCCUAACACAUGCAAGUCGAACGAGACCUUCGGGCCUACUGGCGCACGGGUGCGUAACCCGUUGGAACCUGCCCUUAGGUUCGGAAGAACGCCCCGAAAGGGGUGCUAAUACCGGAUCAUAUCUCCGGACCAAAGAUUGAUCGCCUUUGGAUGGGCCUCCGUUGUAUUACAUAGUUGGUAGGCUAAAAGCCUACCAAGGCGACGAUCCAUAGCUGGUCUGAGAGGAUGAUCAGCCACACUGGGACUGGGACACGGCCCAGAAUACUGCAGGAGGCAGGAGUGGGGAAUAUUGGACUAUGGGGGGUAGGCUGAUGCAGCUAUGCCGCGUGAGUGAUGAAGGCCUUAGGGUUGUAAAGCUAGUUUACACGGGAUUAUAUUGACAGUACCAGGAGAAUAAGCACCGGCUAACUUCGUG